UGGGGAAUAUUGGACAAUGGGCGCAAGCCUGAUCCAGCCAUGCCGCGUGAGUGAUGAAGGCCCUAGGGUUGUAAAGCUCUUUCACCGGUGAAGAUAAUGACGGUAACCGGAGAAGAAGCCCCGGCUAACUUCGUGCCAGCAGCUGCGGUAAUACGAAGGGGGCUAGCGUUGUUCGGAUUUACUGGGCGUAAAGCGCACGUAGGCGGACUUUUAAGUCAGGGGUGAAAUCCCGGGGCUCAACCCCGGAACUGCCUUUGAUACUGGAAGUCUUGAGUAUGGUAGAGGUGAGUGGAAUUCCGAGUGUAGAGGUGAAAUUCGUAGAUAUUCGGAGGAACACCAGUGGCGAAGGCGGCUCACUGGACCAUUACUGACGCUGAGGUGCGAAAGCGUGGGGAGCAAACAGG
This 404-nucleotide ribosomal RNA is filed under the name Brucella melitensis. RNAcentral describes it as "partial 16S ribosomal RNA". It matches the Rfam family "Bacterial small subunit ribosomal RNA", at positions 355 to 776 of the family's 1533-position model. The record is from RNAcentral. RNAcentral also lists the same sequence under 1 other name. Lineage: Bacteria; Pseudomonadati; Pseudomonadota; Alphaproteobacteria; Hyphomicrobiales; Brucellaceae.